Molecule: ribosomal RNA, 774 nt
Filed under: uncultured Neocallimastigales
Lineage: Eukaryota; Fungi; Neocallimastigomycota; Neocallimastigomycetes; Neocallimastigales
Description: partial large subunit ribosomal RNA
Rfam family: Eukaryotic large subunit ribosomal RNA
Source: RNAcentral
UAUGUGAUCGUCUCUCGCAUAUCAAUAAGCGGAGGAAAAGAAACUAACAAGGAUUCCCUUAGUAACGGCGAGUGAAGCGGGAAGAGCUCAAAUUUGAAAUCUUCAAGGUUUUACCUUGACGAAUUGUAGUUUAAAGAAGUGUUUUCUGUUGAAGUUUUGGUAAAAGUUCUUUGGAAUAGGACAUCAUAGAGGGUGAGAAUCCCGUAUUUGACCAUUAUUUUCAGCUGUGUGAUACACUUUCAAAGGGUCGGAUUGUUUGGGAAUGCAGUCCAAAAUGGGUGGUAAAUUUCAUCUAAAGCUAAAUAUUGGCGAGAGACCGAUAGCGAACAAGUACCGUGAGGGAAAGAUGAAAAGAACUUUGAAAAGAGAGUUAAACAGUACGUGAAAUUGUCAAAAGGGAAGCGUUUGACACCAGUGUUGUUUUCUCGAAAAUCAAUUAAAAAGAGUUUGAUUUUGUUGUGUAUUGACCUUAACAGCUUGCAUUUCAAUUUUCUUGCUUUUUUUAAUGCACUUUUCGUUUAACAAGUCAACAUCAGUUUCUUUUGUUGUAAAAAGGUCAUUGGAAGGUGGCUUUCUUUUCGGAGAAAGUGUUUAUAGCCUUUGACUCCUGCAAUCGGAGAGACUGAGGUCUGCAGCGUAGAUCCUUCGGGGUUAGAUACAUUUGUGCUAAGUUAUAGCUUUUUAUAGACAACUUGUUGACUAUGAUUAGUCUUGUAGCUUACUCGCUUAUGCUAUUUUACCUACGCUUAGGAUGUUGAAGAUAUGCGCGACACG